RNAcentral lists this ribosomal RNA (253 nucleotides) under uncultured bacterium. RNAcentral describes it as "partial 16S ribosomal RNA". It matches the Rfam family "Bacterial small subunit ribosomal RNA", at positions 524 to 776 of the family's 1533-position model. The record is from RNAcentral.
UACAGAGGGUGCAAGCGUUGUUCGGAAUUAUUGGGCGUAAAGGGCGCGUAGGCGGUGCCACAAGUCACCUGUGAAAUCUCCGGGCUUAACUCGGAGCCUGCAGGCGAAACUGUGGUGCUGGAGUGUGGGAGAGGUGCGUGGAAUUCCCGGUGUGGCGGUGAAAUGCGUAGAUAUCGGGAGGAACACCUGUGGCGAAAGCGGCGCACUGGACCAUAACUGACGCUGAGGCGCGAAAGCUAGGGGAGCAAACAGG